This 440-nucleotide ribosomal RNA is filed under the name uncultured bacterium. Its description in RNAcentral is "partial 16S ribosomal RNA". It matches the Rfam family "Bacterial small subunit ribosomal RNA", at positions 338 to 795 of the family's 1533-position model. The record is from RNAcentral.
CCUACGGGUGGCAGCAGUGGGGAAUAUUGCACAAUGGGGGAAACCCUGAUGCAGCGACGCCGCGUGAGUGAAGAAGUAAUUCGUUAUGUAAAGCUCUAUCAGCAGGGAAGAAAAUGACGGUACCUGAGUAAGAAGCCCCGGCUAACUACGUGCCAGCAGCCGCGGUAAUACGUAGGGGGCAAGCGUUAUCCGGAUUUACUGGGUGUAAAGGGAGCGUAGACGGCAGUGCAAGUCUGGAGUGAAAGGCGGGGGCUCAACCCCCGGACUGCUGUGGAAACUGUACGGCUGGAGUGCGGGAGAGGAAGGUGGAAUGCGUGGUGGAGCGGUGAAAUGCGUAGAUAUUAGGAGGAACACCGGUGGCGAGGGCGGCUUACUGGACUGUAACUGACGUUGAGGCACGAAAGCGGGGGGAGCAAACAGGAUUAGAUACCCCUGUAGUC